This is a non-coding RNA of Caenorhabditis elegans, 64 nucleotides long. Lineage: Eukaryota; Metazoa; Nematoda; Chromadorea; Rhabditida; Rhabditidae. The record is from Ensembl.
CGUGUAGUUUGUAGUCUAGCAGACCAAAUAGUUUUGGCGAAGGUCUGCCAGACUACAAACUACA